Molecule: ribosomal RNA, 253 nt
Filed under: uncultured bacterium
Lineage: Bacteria
Description: partial 16S ribosomal RNA
Rfam family: Bacterial small subunit ribosomal RNA
Source: RNAcentral
UACGGAGGGGACUAGCGUUGUUCGGAAUUACUGGGCGUAAAGAGUACGUAGGCGGCUUUGCAAGUUGGGUGUGAAAGCCCAGGGCUCAACCCUGGAACUGCACUCAAAACUGUGGAGCUAGAGAUCGGAAGAGGUAAGUGGAAUUCCCAGUGUAGAGGUGAAAUUCGUAGAUAUUGGGAAGAACACCAGUGGCGAAGGCGGCUUACUGGUCCGACACUGACGCUGAGGUACGAAAGCGUGGGGAGCAAACAGG